Molecule: long non-coding RNA, 1240 nt
Organism: Syngnathoides biaculeatus (alligator pipefish)
Lineage: Eukaryota; Metazoa; Chordata; Actinopteri; Syngnathiformes; Syngnathidae
Exons: 3
Source: RefSeq, a predicted model, not a curated record
GCCCUUGAAGGGGGUUCAAGGUGGAUUGGAGGGGUUCAUCUUCAUCAGAGCUCCUCUUUCCUCACGGUGACUUUCUCCUGAUCGCGACUUCGCAGGCUGCGCAUGAAGCCGAUGAACCCUGCUUCCUGGAAAGAGCAGGUGGAGUCUUAUUGCCGCAAGAUGAGGAGAGUUUAGCGACUGGCUAUGACUUACACAUGCGAGCUGCUUAAAACCCAGGAAAUGAUCAGAGAUGAUCCCAGAGGAGAUUUGAGAUCUCAAAUUUUAACAACUACAGUCCAAAUAGCUGAUUUCGGGCCUCUCGGAAGUCCUCUGAGCCAAGGUGGAGGACGCUGGAGGGUUUGUCUUCCCAGGACUGCUCUGGUGGCGGUGGAGCCUGUGGACUGGAGCAUAUAGAAUUGUGUGAUAAUAGUACAUUCUUCACAUUUUAAAGAGGAAUUGAAAUUGUACACAGUAAUGCGCAGGUUACGAAAAGACAAGUUGCACAGGUUAAAGCAAGACAAUUAUACAGUUGAAGCCAGGAGUUUACAUACACUGCGCAAAAAUAUUUCAUUUUUCGUCUCACUGUCCCGAGGUUAAAUCAGACUAAACCUGUCCUGUGUCAGGUGUGUCAGGAUCACCAAAAUUAAUAGAAUUUUGUCAAAUGCCACAAUAAUGAGAGAAUUAUCGUAAUUUCCAGACUAUAAGAUGCGACCUUUGUCACACGCUUUCAACCCUGCGGUUUAUAAAAAGAAGUGGCUAAUUUGUGCAUUUUUUUUUUUAACGGCCGCCAGGGGCGCUCGAGCAUAAAAGGUAAGAGUGUGACAGGUGUGUCGAGAAAGACGCAAGUUUAAUGUAACGUCGCGCUUUGUGCGUGAAUAAAAUUAACACGAUGUGACCCUCAUCCUGGAAAUUGCAAGAAGAAAUGCACAUGACGCAGCUUUCAAGUUAAAAGCAAUCGAGCUGGCCGAUGAUGAAGGAAACAGGCAGAAAUGAAUCGAUGGCGAGACACUGGAAAUGGCUGUGGGAAGGCUGGAGCAAUGUUAAAAUACGAAAAAAGCUUUCAGAUGUAAUAAAAGCAGGUGGAGUGAACAGUGUUGCUGCCACGUCUCAGUGAAUUUUACUGGUACGUUUUUUUUACUCAGCCCUGUUAGUACUGUGUUACUACCGUAUUGUUGCUGUUACUGCCACGUCACACGCACUGUUUGGAAAGAAAAGCUAAGUUAAGCUAAGCUAAGUUAUGUUAUUAAAACUUUGAAAACUC